GUCUUCUUCCUCAUGGCCUGGAAAGCUCUUCAGAGAGGAUUUGUAACACAGGGCGAUUUGACUUGGCAGGAAAAGCACCUUCUGAACACAAAGGAUUGUUUUACAGGCUUUGAGCUGCGCUCUCCGGGCCGGCGGUGCGCUCCUGUCAUUUUCCCUUGAGGCCACUGGGUGGCGCUGAAGGAGCCGGGAUUGCCAGUAAGACUGUUGCUUCCAACUCCUGUCACAGCGGUUUGGGGAAGAGCAGUCAGUCACACAGGUACCACACAGGUGAGCUUGAUUUGGAUCAAUACAUUUUGGAGAGCAAGAUUUGGAUCAAUAAAUUUUGGCAGUGCCUCUUUUGGGGAGCCGGAGUGACAAAGGAUCCAAGAGGAAGUCGCUAGACUGAUUUUAAUGACUUCACUGAAGGUCACUUUUCAGGAAGUGUCAAAGGCAGCCACAGAGCAGUGAAAGGCCACGAUGACCUGGGUGAUGCUCCUGGGGAACAGGCCAGUUCUUGCAGAAAGAUGUGUCAAGGACAAGUAUCCGUUCUUGUACUGGCCUCCCUGUCUGAAAUCCAGCCUCACUUUCCCUGACAGACAACAGCAACAACAACAACAAAAAUAUGGACAUUGACUCUGGG
Molecule: long non-coding RNA, 619 nt
Filed under: Cricetulus griseus (Chinese hamster)
Lineage: Eukaryota; Metazoa; Chordata; Mammalia; Rodentia; Cricetidae
Description: lncRNA (ENSCGRG00015029271.1)
Source: RNAcentral